Molecule: non-coding RNA, 27 nt
Filed under: Rattus norvegicus (Norway rat)
Lineage: Eukaryota; Metazoa; Chordata; Mammalia; Rodentia; Muridae
Source: RNAcentral
UAGUUUAGGAUGGCCUCGGAUUAUACU